Molecule: long non-coding RNA, 141 nt
Organism: Nothoprocta perdicaria
Lineage: Eukaryota; Metazoa; Chordata; Aves; Tinamiformes; Tinamidae
Exons: 2
Source: RefSeq, a predicted model, not a curated record
UCCUGCGCCAGGGCACCCGCGGGAGCCCCCGGCACCGCAAGGAGCAGCGGAGAGCCGUGCGAGGAUGUUCUGAAAGGGGGCUCAGUGAUGGCCUUGAUGCAGUCCCAGGAUGUAACAGGAGCUCUCCGCUGAGUCUUCCCA